This 148-nucleotide signal recognition particle RNA is filed under the name Nomascus leucogenys (northern white-cheeked gibbon). RNAcentral describes it as "Metazoan signal recognition particle RNA". It matches the Rfam family "Metazoan signal recognition particle RNA". From Rfam's summary of the family: The signal recognition particle (SRP) is a universally conserved ribonucleoprotein. Lineage: Eukaryota; Metazoa; Chordata; Mammalia; Primates; Hylobatidae. The record is from Rfam by way of RNAcentral.
GCCGGGCAUGGUGGUGCAUGCCUGUAAUCCCAGCUACUUGGGAGGCUGAGGCAGGAGAAUCGCUUGAGCUUGGGAGGCAGAGCUUGCAGUGAGCCGAGAUCAUGCCACUGCACUCCAGCCUGGGCGACAAAGUGAGACUCUGUCUCAA